CUGGGUAGUUCCUUGGAACUGCCCCCGGGAUUGAAAUUGUUCGCCGUGGCUCACUGGCCUCGAGGACGGCUGCCAUGGCGCGACGCCCUUGGCCUUCUCCGCCUCCUUGCUCACACCCUCAAGUAUGUCGAUGACCACAUGGGCUGGUACGCUGGCGACCCCCGCUGAAGCGGGCCCACCACCUCCUGCAGCUCGGAGAUGCGAGCCUCCAGAUCCGGCUUCCACUCCUGGAUCGCCUCCACCUCGGCGCAGAGGUCGCCAAUCGACUCCUUGAUGUCGGAGAACUCUCCCAUGAGCUCGCACAUGAACUUUUUUAUUUUCGUUGUCCAUGGCGAGCCUCUUCUGCUUCUCGCGCCGUGUCUCGAUGAUACAACAAAAGGUUGGGGCCAGAUUUGCGGUGGAAGGUGGUAGGAAAUGGCUCUAGAUACCAAUUGAUAGGAACUACUAGGAUUCUCACUAUCUGUUUACACAAAUUGAGUCUGGUUACACGCUCAACGAGCUGAAUCUGGUAGGAAGGAAAGAGGAAAGUAGCUCAGGAGCCGCCGCCGCCAAG
RNAcentral lists this ribosomal RNA (553 nucleotides) under Triticum aestivum (bread wheat). RNAcentral's name for it is "partial small subunit ribosomal RNA". The record is from RNAcentral. Lineage: Eukaryota; Viridiplantae; Streptophyta; Magnoliopsida; Poales; Poaceae.